Molecule: ribosomal RNA, 497 nt
Filed under: uncultured bacterium
Lineage: Bacteria
Description: partial 16S ribosomal RNA
Rfam family: Bacterial small subunit ribosomal RNA
Source: RNAcentral
GAUGAACGCUGGCGGCGUGCCUAAUACAUGCAAGUCGAGCGAACAGACGAGGAGCUUGCUCCUCUGACGUUAGCGGCGGACGGGUGAGUAACACGUGGAUAACCUACCUAUAAGACUGGGAUAACUUCGGGAAACCGGAGCUAAUACCGGAUAAUAUAUUGAACCGCAUGGUUCAAUAGUGAAAGACGGUUUUGCUGUCACUUAUAGAUGGAUCCGCGCCGCAUUAGCUAGUUGGUAAGGUAAAGGCUUACCAAGGCAACGAUGCGUAGCCGACCUGAGAGCGUGAUCGGCCACACUGGAACUGAGACACGGUCCAGACUCCUACGGGAGGCAGCAGUAGGGAAUCUUCCGCAAUGGUCGAAAGCCUGACGGAGCAACGCCGCGUGAGUUAUGAAGGUCUUCGGAUCGUAAAACUCUGUUAUUAGGGAAGAACAAAUUUGUAAGUAACUAUGCACGUCUUGACGGUACCUAAUCAGAAAGCCACGGCUAACUACGUG